This 50-nucleotide transfer RNA is filed under the name Hydroporus brevis. Its description in RNAcentral is "partial transfer RNA-Leu". The record is from RNAcentral. Lineage: Eukaryota; Metazoa; Arthropoda; Insecta; Coleoptera; Dytiscidae.
UAUUAUUACUUUGGCAGAUUAGUGUAAUGAAUUUAGAAUUCAAGAAUGUA